RNAcentral lists this ribosomal RNA (375 nucleotides) under uncultured bacterium. RNAcentral describes it as "bacterial SSU rRNA". It matches the Rfam family "Bacterial small subunit ribosomal RNA", at positions 523 to 898 of the family's 1533-position model. The record is from RNAcentral.
AUACGUAGGGGGCGAGCGUUGUCCGGAUUUACUGGGUGUAAAGGGCGCGUAGGCGGAUUUGUUAGUCAGGGGUGAAAUCUCACGGCUUAACCGUGAAACUGCCUCUGAUACUGCGAAUCUUGAGUUCGGAAGAGAGUAGCGGAAUUCCAGGUGUAGUAGUGAAAUACGUAGAUAUCUGGAAGAACACCAGUGGCGAAGGCGGCUACUUGGUCCGUAACUGACGCUGAGGCGCGAAAGCGUGGGGAGCAAACAGGAUUAGAUACCCUGGUAGUCCACGCUGUAAACGAUGAAUACUAGGUGUUGGAUGCAUUAGUAUCCAGUGCCGCAGCUAACGCAUUAAGUAUUCCACCUGGGGAGUACGAUCGCAAGGUUGAA